This 341-nucleotide unclassified non-coding RNA is filed under the name soil metagenome. RNAcentral describes it as "partial contains 5.8S ribosomal RNA, internal transcribed spacer 2, and large subunit ribosomal RNA". The stretch from base 1 to 121 matches the Rfam family "5.8S ribosomal RNA", at positions 35 to 154 of the family's 154-position model. The record is from RNAcentral.
GAUGAAGAACGCAGCGAAAUGCGAUAAGUAAUGCGAAUUGCAGAAUUCCAGUGAGUCAUCGAAUCUUUGAACGCACAUUGCGCCCCUUGGCAUUCCGAAGGGCAUGCCUGUUCGAGCGUCAUGAUCAAAUCUCAAGCUUUGCUUGGUAUUGGGUUUUCGUCUUUGUCCUUCAUACGGGUAUUGACGUGCCUGAAAAUCAGUGGCGGUGCCCUCAAUAGCCUCAAGCGUAGAAGACUGACUCGCUUUGGAGUACUUUUGUAGGUUCUGUCAAUUAAAAACAAGUUGGACCUCGGAUCAGGUAGGGAUACCCGCUGAACUUAAGCAUAUCAAUAAGCGGAGGA